Molecule: long non-coding RNA, 1613 nt
Organism: Aquila chrysaetos chrysaetos
Lineage: Eukaryota; Metazoa; Chordata; Aves; Accipitriformes; Accipitridae
Exons: 2
Source: RefSeq, a predicted model, not a curated record
CCUUCCUUAGUGCCGUAGGUCCGGCGGCGGCUUCCCCUUCCCCUCCGGCCGUACCCGCGCUGCGCCCCGGCCGGCCCCGCCGGAGGCACCAGUGGCAGCGCCGGCGGGAGGGCGCAGCGGGUGCCAGGAGCUAAGAUGGCGCCGGGGAGGCGGGGGGGGUGGCGACAAAGCCGAGCGCGGGGAAAGGCCGCGGCGGGAAGGGCGGUAUUGUGAGAAAAAAACGAUGUUUGAGGAGAAAUCUGAUAUUCGGCGACUGGCGGCGCAAAAAUCCCGCAGCGCUCAGCGUAUCUGGGAACAAGCACAAGUGUUACAUGACCAUCCAGUUGUUCACAGAUUACAAGCAAGUGCUCUGGUAAGUUAAAAACGUUGGUAUAGGAAAAAAUAAAAAUCAGGUUUAGCAGCUAUGUCUAAUGGGAACUUUACAAUAAAUAAAUAAAUAAAUCCAAAUAGAAUCACUGGAUUUAUUCAACUAUAUACUAUUAGUUACUCCCUGUCGCUGGUGUUACUGAACCACCAUCCUGCUUUAAAGGCAGUUAUCAGCCCAGAAGUAUUUUCAUCCAAGGGUUCAAACUGCAACAACUGUGAGGACACGUGGAAGAUUCUUCUGUCAUUAUCUAACCAUUCAGUUCUAAUGUGAGUGCUUGACUGGGAAGGUUUGUGACUAGCGGAGAUGGAUAAACAGUUGGAUGGGAGGUAUUUGAAUGUUUAAUAUAUGUGCCAAACUGUCUUUCUAGGGUCAUGGAGACUCGGCAGUUCCUGGGGGCUGUCAAACUGAUUACACGCAGCAAACCAGCCGCUGUGUCUCUGCCUGCUGCUUAGAGUAAGCACUGAUAUGCCAGUCAGACUUUACUAUCAAGUACAAGCUUAUGUGUGCUGGAGAUGUUGUGCAGACUUCAAGUCAUUGGUGUACUCAGUAAUUUAAAAGCUUUCAUAUACUCUAAAAAUUUUUGUCUUGCACUCCAAAGGGCAAUCUUUGUUCCUAACACAGAGCCCAAGUCUGCAAGUUCUUUCUGGAAGACCAGGCUCCCAGCAUAGAUGUACAAUUUUAAACAGUUGGUUGCAUUUUAGCAGUGGUAAGAUGAUCCUUGUUUUAUAUUUCUCUACAAUAAUUUCUGUAAAGGCUGUGAGAUUCUUUGGGAUGGAAGGCUAUAAAAAUGUAAGUUGCUAUUAAUUAUAUUGAUUUGCAUGAUUUUAUGUAUGCCCAUUUUGCAUUGCAGAAAUACUUAGAAAGAAAUGUACUCUUCUUUCUUUUUCACACAUCAUUGCAUUGUAUUUGAGAGGAUUUAGCACAUUUUCUGAUUUCACUUGCCAAAUCGGGGGUUUGUGUUUAAAAUUUACAGCUGACUUGACAUUCCAGAAACUAAGCAUGAUUACCAAUUAUGUCUCUGUCUUGUAUUAACAUACCUAACUAAGGAAAGAAAUAUUGGGAGAUCUGAACUUUUACAUCAAGGAGCAAAUAUGAGAUUAUCUUUACAAAGAAGCUCUGUUUAUUCAAUUUUUGAGAAAAAAAGUGCAGUUACUCCUACACUCUGUAAAUUGUAAGGCCAUUAAUCAUUAUCAGCUGCUGCCAAAUCCCCAUGUAUAUAUCCCAAAUAUACAUAAAGGUAACCUAA